AGAAAUAGCUCAACAACCUCUCAGAGACCUACAGAAUUAGUUGUAUGAGAUCAAACUGAUAUAGACAAACUCCAGAAGGGAAACAAAGAAGGCAACAAAACAAUCAUGAACAUUUGUUCUUCCUCAUUGUCGGUUUUGCCAGUCAGGAUGAUUACUCCAAAAUAAAGAAAAUUACCAAAAACAAAUGCAUAUUAAGAAACAAUACAAAAACAGAUAAUCCUCAAACCCUCCCUAUUUCAUUCCUCUACCAACAACUAUAACAGAGAAAAAGAAAAAAUAUAUAAACAAGUUGUAG
Molecule: unclassified non-coding RNA, 295 nt
Filed under: Hevea brasiliensis (rubber tree)
Lineage: Eukaryota; Viridiplantae; Streptophyta; Magnoliopsida; Malpighiales; Euphorbiaceae
Source: RNAcentral